Molecule: ribosomal RNA, 253 nt
Filed under: uncultured bacterium
Lineage: Bacteria
Description: partial 16S ribosomal RNA
Rfam family: Bacterial small subunit ribosomal RNA
Source: RNAcentral
UACGGAGGGAGCUAGCGUUGUUCGGAAUUACUGGGCGUAAAGCGCGCGUAGGCGGCUUUGUAAGUUAGAGGUGAAAGCCUGGAGCUCAACUUCAGAAUUGCCUUUAAGACUGCAUCGCUUGAAUCCGGGAGAGGUGAGUGGAAUUCCGAGUGUAGAGGUGAAAUUCGUAGAUAUUGGGAAGAACACCGGUGGCGAAGGCGGCCAUCUGGACCGCAACUGACGCUGAGGCGCGAAAGCGUGGGGAGCAAACAGG